RNAcentral lists this ribosomal RNA (467 nucleotides) under uncultured bacterium. Its description in RNAcentral is "partial 16S ribosomal RNA". It matches the Rfam family "Bacterial small subunit ribosomal RNA", at positions 28 to 507 of the family's 1533-position model. The record is from RNAcentral.
GACGAACGCUGGCGGCGUGCUUAACACAUGCAAGUCGAACGGAAAGGCCCUGCUUUUGUGGGGUGCUCGAGUGGCGAACGGUUGAGUAACACGUGAGUAACCUGCCCUUGACUUUGGGAUAACUUCAGGAAACUGGGGCUAAUACCGGAUAGGAGCUCCUGCUGCAUGGUGGGGGUUGGAAAGUUUCGGCGGUUGGGGAUGGACUCGCGGCUUAUCAGCUUGUUGGUGGGGUAGUGGCUUACCAAGGCUUUGACGGGUAGCCGGCCUGAGAGGGUGACCGGCCACAUUGGGACUGAGAUACGGCCCAGACUCCUACGGGAGGCAGCAGUGGGGAAUAUUGCACAAUGGGCGGAAGCCUGAUGCAGCAACGCCGCGUGCGGGAUGACGGCCUUCGGGUUGUAAACCGCUUUCGCCUGUGACGAAGCGUGAGUGACGGUAAUGGGUAAGAAGCACCGGCUAACUACGUG